Molecule: long non-coding RNA, 817 nt
Organism: Talpa occidentalis (Iberian mole)
Lineage: Eukaryota; Metazoa; Chordata; Mammalia; Eulipotyphla; Talpidae
Exons: 3
Source: RefSeq, a predicted model, not a curated record
CAUCUAGGCCCAGUGGGUUGCCCAGAUGGACGCGGUUCUCGCGCCGCGGGCCCCAGGCAGAGGAGCUGGUCGGCCCGCACUGGUCAGGCUGCGCUUGGGCCCCUGGAGUGCCAGUCACAGGGCCGUGGCCUUCUCUCCCAUUGGGCCUGUAGACACAGCCCGGCAAGAGCACAUCAAGUUGCUUUGUUUGUGUGUGUUUGGCUUCUAGCCACGCAUGUGUGCAGCCAAGGACUGUCCAUGUAAUAACUUCAAAAACUGGAGCAUUACAUUCAGAGAGCACUGUGGCACCUGUCUGUCUAAAUGACACAUUUGAUUUGACCACGUUUUACUGAUUUUCAUGAGCAUGUGGCGUCUCGAGAUGGUUAAAAUAUGUGAAACGUGGGGCAUUACAGUCUGUGAUAAUGCAACAUCCUUUAAUUGAUACACUAAGCCUCAUCAUUGUUCAGCUGAACCGCUGAGACUCUCGGGGACGUCUGUCUCACUGUCAAUCCAGGAUUUCCUGAAAACGAGAAUCUCCCACCUGCCCGCUUCACAGCACACGGAUGGAAGGAGUGCCUGCCUGAUGCCGCCCAGGAAGACACUGAUCUGCCCAAUUUGAUGGAUCCCUUCACCUGCUGAUGAGCUGUCCUCGUAACGAACCCUUUCACACGUCGUGUUGAUGGAGCUUCACAAAUCUUUUUGUGAAGAUUCAGAUUCCGCCCCGAGCACCACUGUCUGCUGGAGCCCAUAAAAACCCAAAUUUACUAAAAAUAUAUGUUCCUGGGAUUGCUGCAUUAUUUACCUCCAAGAGCCAUGACAAUCUCAUGAAAUAUAUAUU